Molecule: ribosomal RNA, 537 nt
Filed under: Triticum aestivum (bread wheat)
Lineage: Eukaryota; Viridiplantae; Streptophyta; Magnoliopsida; Poales; Poaceae
Description: partial small subunit ribosomal RNA
Source: RNAcentral
AUGGGAAGAAGAAUCAACGUGAGAAGGUGCCCGAGGGGGCCACGAGGCAGGGGGUUGCGCCUACCCCCUGGGCGCGCCCCUGACCCUCGUGGGCCCCCCAUUAGGCGGUUGCUGCUCUCCUUUGGCCGCAAGAAAGCUAAUUUUCGGAGAAAAAUCUGGGCGAGGGUUUCAGUCCAGUCGGAGUUACGGAUCUCCGGAUAUACAAGAAACGAUGAAAGGGCAGGAUACCAGAAUGCAGAAACAGAGAGAGAUAGAGAGGCAGAGCCAAUCUCGGAGGGGCUCUCACCCCUCCCAUGCCAUGGAGGCCAAGGACCAGAGGGGAAACCCUUCUCCCAUCUAGGGAGAAGGUCAAGGAAGAAGAAGAAGAAGAAGAAGAAGAAGAAGAAGAAGGGGGGCUCUCUCCCCCUCGAUUCCUGUGGCGCCGGAACGCCGCCGGGGCCAUCAUCAUCACCGCGAUCUUCACCAACAUCUUCAUCACCUUCCCCCAUCUAUCUACAGCGGUCCACUCUCCCGCAACCCGCUGUACCCUCUACUUGA